Long non-coding RNA from Mercurialis annua (annual mercury), 8281 nucleotides. RefSeq lists it as uncharacterized. The record is from RefSeq and is a predicted model, not a curated record. NCBI's taxonomy places the organism in Eukaryota, Viridiplantae, Streptophyta, Magnoliopsida, Malpighiales, Euphorbiaceae. The transcript has 8 exons.
ACCUAAAUUUUUGAGGUAUUACGUGUAGCGCCACGAGGCAUAAUCGUAAGGAUUAAGAAUGAGACUAUCAGAUUAAGACUGGAUAAUAAGGACUUAGACCGAAGCGGGUCUAUUGGAAUUAUCGUAAAAUAAUAAAUUUAAUUGAAAAUUAUUAUGCGAUCAAUUGGAUUUAAUCGGGACUAAAGGGAAUAAAAUAAAAUAAGUUGGAAAGCCCGAGCUAAUAAUUUUCAUGCCAAGAUCCGUGAAUAAUUUUUAGAAAUUAUGGAAAAAGUUUCAUAACUUUCAGACAUUGUUUAGUUAAGCAUGUCAGUUAAUAGAGAAGUUGAGGUAAAAUGUAAAUUAGCCACUUUAAGGACUAAAGUGGACUUUUAACCACAAACUUCCGGAGGAAGUUGUGUUUUACUCUAUUUUCUCAAGAUAAGAAAAUAAUAUCGAUAAAGUUGUUAUCAAUGGUCAAUAAAAUGAAAAUUGGACGAAAAAGUGAGAAAAAGUGCAAGUUAGCUCAAAAUGGAAAUUUGAGCGUUUUUGGCCAAAAUUGCCAAAAUAUAUUAUUGGAAAGUGAUAUUAAAAGAUAUGAGACUAAUGUUAUUUAUUUGGAAAAUAAAUAAUACGGAACUUAUCGAGAAUCGAAUGAUUAAAAGAUUAGUGCACUAAAUUGUACGAAAGAUAAGCUAGAAAGUGAAGAGAAAGGAGGUGACAACUUCAAGGACCUAAGUGGACUUUUUACCCACUUAUUAUCAUCUUUUAUGAAUGAAUAAUCAUUCAUUUAAACACAAAAUUGCAGCAAACCAAAGGUGAAAUCCGUAGCUCUUCAUUUCCAAAUUCUCCAAAAAUCUUCAUAUCUUUUUCGUUUCUCAACGAAAUUGAGCGAUUCUUGCGGCCACGGAACGAGGAAGUGAUUAUCUACAACUCUAUGGCAUCAAUUUAAGUGUAAUUGUAAGCUUGUAAUGAAGGUUAUGGAUGAUGAAAUUGGAGCUUUAAACCUACGGCAAUAGAGACAUCAUCAAGACUCGACGAAGCGACUAUCGACAAGGCUCGAAGGGAACGGAUCGAGAUGUCUUCGUGUUUAUUUGAAGAAUUUUGAUAGCAAGUGGGAUGGUAUGAUAUGAUUUGAAGAGUUAAGCUUCCGAAGUUUUAAUUCUCGGAAGUCAUUUGCACAAGAAGUAAAAGAAGGAUUUCAUUCUAGCGGUCCGCAGUAGUCUAGAUGUUUUUGUCUAUGUAUUUGUAUAACGCAUUUUGAACUCUGAUGUUUUUAUGUAAAAUGGGGUCACAUGUAUUUUGAUAUAUGAAAUAUGAUUUGAUUUGCGAAAAAUUUACACAGGAUUUUAGGCUUGCUACGGGUUUCGGAGCUACCACUCCCAUUCCCUAGCGCCGGUCGCGACUCAUAAAUUUGGGUCGUGACAAAGGUGGUAUCAGAGCAAUGGUUUAGAUUCAUAGGCCAUUGCCUGUAUACGAUUGAUGUCUGUAGUUCCUAGGUAUGAUGUCACUAGGUUAAGCUAAGAACUACUGCGGAUUAUAGGAAUUUCCAGUCAUGUCUUUUGAACGUUAUCAUCUUUUUCAUCGAUUUUUCAAUCAUUUUACAAAGACGUCCCCUCCUAUAUGUGCUAUUAGGAGUCGAGUUAGGAAUGUGCAUGAGCACAAUUUAUGUUUUGUGUUUACUCGAGUAAGCAAUACGCUAUAGUCUGCGAAGAGUUAUAUACUCUCGAGACUCAUAUGAUAGAAGAAUAUUGUUAUGGACUAUGAUUGAAUUGAUUGAUUGGAUAUUAUAUGAUUGAUGAAUAAGAUAGGUAUUGUUUUGCGCUGCGAUCACUCAGGAGAGUGAUAUGAUCACAGGUAUGUAAGCCUAUGAUAAUUUAUGCGAUAAAGUGAAAUACGUGUUUGUGAUUGAUAAUAUGAGUAGGAUUUGUGUCUUACGAUUAGACGCUAAUUAGUUCUGUUAAGUCUAUAUUGAGUGGAAAGCUCACAUGACUUAAUAUACGAUACGUAGCUAAAGAAAAUCUAGGGGACACAAGAUUUUCUUUGAAAUUGAUUAACAUAGACGCUCAUAACUACGAUAGUGAUACGCACGGAACAUAUACUAUGCAAGUAUAUGUUCUGACGAUUUGCUAAGUCUACAAUGAGUAAGAAUACUCAGAAGACUUGCAAUACGAGACAAGGACAUAGAAAGACCAGAGAAAGGAGAACAAAGUCAAUACGCGAGGGAUGCAACAUUCCAUCUGAUAAGAUACCACGGGUGACACGAACCAACCAUCUCCUUAAAGACGGAGUUUGUCGCGGCAAUUUCUAGUUAGACACAAAACGCUAGAAGCUCAAUAGCGAUUAAACCUUUUGAGCUAGUCUAGUGUAAACAUGAACGCUUAGAACGUACUUUUCGAACGACGUCAAAAGCGGACGAGUAGAAUUACAUCUUUUUGUAUGCAAAAGAUGUACAUAGAUUGCGAACAAUAGUACGAUAAAUGAUAAGAACGAGUAUUAUACAGAGUCUAAUGUCAAAGAAACUUACGUAAACCCCGUUUUAUGAAAAGAAAAGUAUUUGAUCGAAAUAAAAUGUUUUGAAAAGACAUAAUUGUGCCCGGACACGAAUCAUAAAAACAUCGCAUUGACACGAAUAGAAUUGCAUCACUACAUCCAUAUUGCAUUCACUAGUAGGACAUGCACCAUAUACAUUGUGUGUCUGAAAAGAAAAGAGGAGUGUCAUUGCAACUCUUGUGAUGAGAGAUGUCAUCACACCGGUGCACAAUUAUGACAUGAUUUCAGAAAUGAAAAGUAUCGUGGUUUUAAACGGAUGAGUUUCCAAACGUAAGUAAGCUCAGACAAAGACUCUGUAUAUAGAGGCGUAGGACAAGACUGAUCAUCUUGUUAGGCCUAUAUGAAAACAUACGUAUGUAAUAUGACAAGUAUAUAGAAUGACGAAUAGUGUAAUGCGAAUCGCAACGUAUCGAGAAUUGAAUUGCAGAUCUCUAAGGCAGUCUUGUAUAUUAAAUACAAGAACAACGACGCUACUUUACAAACAUGUAAAGUGAUAGCGGUCACGUUUAAACUCGAAGCACGUUUACCUCUAGGACGAGGAAAUCGAACAUAGAAGUUAGUUACAAAAGAGACGUGAAUCCACGUGCAAGAAGAUAUUAUUGUAGUCGAUCGAAGAAGAAGGGAUUGAUUCAUAGUGAUUAUGAAUCAAGCAAUAAUAAGAUGGUUAGGAUUGUUAGCAUAAUAAUUUACUCGAUAAGUAUAUCGAGAUGACCGUAUAAACCUAAUUGUAAAGUCAACAGUUAGUGAAUAAUUAAUCAGAGUAUCGCAGCGGAAGUGUGGAAGGAAGUGAAUGAUAAGGUUUGAACAAGGAUUGGUUAAGUGAUAUUAGAAGAUUAUGAAAAUUCGAGGACGAAUUUUUAUAAGGGGGGAAGAUUGUAAUAACCUAAAUUUUUGAGGUAUUACGUGUAGCGCCACGAGGCAUAAUCGUAAGGAUUAAGAAUGAGACUAUCAGAUUAAGACUGGAUAAUAAGGACUUAGACCGAAGCGGGUCUAUUGGAAUUAUCGUAAAAUAAUAAAUUUAAUUGAAAAUUAUUAUGCGAUCAAUUGGAUUUAAUCGGGACUAAAGGGAAUAAAAUAAAAUAAGUUGGAAAGCCCGAGCUAAUAAUUUUCAUGCCAAGAUCCGUGAAUAAUUUUUAGAAAUUAUGGAAAAAGUUUCAUAACUUUCAGACAUUGUUUAGUUAAGCAUGUCAGUUAAUAGAGAAGUUGAGGUAAAAUGUAAAUUAGCCACUUUAAGGACUAAAGUGGACUUUUAACCACAAACUUCCGGAGGAAGUUGUGUUUUACUCUAUUUUCUCAAGAUAAGAAAAUAAUAUCGAUAAAGUUGUUAUCAAUGGUCAAUAAAAUGAAAAUUGGACGAAAAAGUGAGAAAAAGUGCAAGUUAGCUCAAAAUGGAAAUUUGAGCGUUUUUGGCCAAAAUUGCCAAAAUAUAUUAUUGGAAAGUGAUAUUAAAAGAUAUGAGACUAAUGUUAUUUAUUUGGAAAAUAAAUAAUACGGAACUUAUCGAGAAUCGAAUGAUUAAAAGAUUAGUGCACUAAAUUGUACGAAAGAUAAGCUAGAAAGUGAAGAGAAAGGAGGUGACAACUUCAAGGACCUAAGUGGACUUUUUACCCACUUAUUAUCAUCUUUUAUGAAUGAAUAAUCAUUCAUUUAAACACAAAAUUGCAGCAAACCAAAGGUGAAAUCCGUAGCUCUUCAUUUCCAAAUUCUCCAAAAAUCUUCAUAUCUUUUUCGUUUCUCAACGAAAUUGAGCGAUUCUUGCGGCCACGGAACGAGGAAGUGAUUAUCUACAACUCUAUGGCAUCAAUUUAAGUGUAAUUGUAAGCUUGUAAUGAAGGUUAUGGAUGAUGAAAUUGGAGCUUUAAACCUACGGCAAUAGAGACAUCAUCAAGGGAUGGUAUGAUAUGAUUUGAAGAGUUAAGCUUCCGAAGUUUUAAUUCUCGGAAGUCAUUUGCACAAGAAGUAAAAGAAGGAUUUCAUUCUAGCGGUCCGCAGUAGUCUAGAUGUUUUUGUCUAUGUAUUUGUAUAACGCAUUUUGAACUCUGAUGUUUUUAUGUAAAAUGGGGUCACAUGUAUUUUGAUAUAUGAAAUAUGAUUUGAUUUGCGAAAAAUUUACACAGGAUUUUAGGCUUGCUACGGGUUUCGGAGCUACCACUCCCAUUCCCUAGCGCCGGUCGCGACUCAUAAAUUUGGAUCGUGACAAAGGUGGUAUCAGAGCAAUGGUUUAGAUUCAUAGGCCAUUGCCUGUAUACGAUUGAUGUCUGUAGUUCCUAGGUAUGAUGUCACUAGGUUAAGCUAAGAACUACUGCGGAUUAUAGGAAUUUCCAGUCAUGUCUUUUGAACGUUAUCAUCUUUUUCAUCGAUUUUUCAAUCAUUUUACAAAGACGUCCCCUCCUAUAUGUGCUAUUAGGAGUCGAGUUAGGAAUGUGCAUGAGCACAAUUUAUGUUUUGUGUUUACUCGAGUAAGCAAUACGCUAUAGUCUGCGAAGAGUUAUAUACUCUCGAGACUCAUAUGAUAGAAGAAUAUUGUUAUGGACUAUGAUUGAAUUGAUUGAUUGGAUAUUAUAUGAUUGAUGAAUAAGAUAGGUAUUGUUUUGCUCUGCGAUCACUCAGGAGAGUGAUAUGAUCACAGGUAUGUAAGCCUAUGAUAAUUUAUGCGAUAAAGUGAAAUACGUGUUUGUGAUUGAUAAUAUGAGUAGGAUUUGUGUCUUACGAUUAGACGCUGAUUAGUUCUGUUAAGUCUAUAUUGAGUGGAAAGCUCACAUGACUUAAUAUACGAUACGUAGCUAAAGAAAAUCUAGGGGACACAAGAUUUUCUUUGAAAUUGAUUAACAUAGACGCUCAUUACUACGAUAGUGAUACGCACGGAACAUAUACUAUGCAAGUAUAUGUUCUGACGAUUUGCUAAGUCUACAAUGAGUAAGAAUACUCAGAAGACUUGCAAUACGAGACAAGGACAUAGAAAGACCAGAGAAAGGAGAACAAAGUCAAUACGCGAGGGAUGCAACAUUCCAUCUGAUAAGAUACCACGGGUGACACGAACCAACCAUCUCCUUAAAGACGGAGUUUGUCGCGGCAAUUUCUAGUUAGACACAACCAAUAGACCGUAUAGUAGAAGCAAACGUCGUGAAGUCCAAACGCUAGAAGCUCAAUAGCGAUUAAACCUUUUGAGCUAGUCUAGUGUAAACAUGAACGCUUAGAACGUACUUUUCGAACGACGUCAAAAGCGGACGAGUAGAAUUACAUCUUUUUGUAUGCAAAAGAUGUACAUAGAUUGCGAACAAUAGUACGAUAAAUGAUAAGAACGAGUAUUUUACAGAGUCUAAUGUCAAAGAAACUUACGUAAACCCCGUUUUAUGAAAAGAAAAGUAUUUGAUCGAAAUAAAAUGUUUUGAAAAGACAUAAUUGUGCCCGGACACGAAUCAUAAAAACAUCGCAUUGACACGAAUAGAAUUGCAUCACUACAUCCAUAUUGCAUUCACUAGUAGGACAUGCACCAUAUACAUUGUGUGUCUGAAAAGAAAAGAGGAGUGUCAUUGCAACUCUUGUGAUGAGAGAUGUCAUCACACCGGUGCACAAUUAUGACAUGAUUUCAGAAAUGAAAAGUAUCGUGGUUUUAAACGGAUGAGUUUCCAAACGUAAGUAAGCUCAGACAAAGACUCUGUAUAUAGAGGCGUAGGACAAGACUGAUCAUCUUGUUAGGCCUAUAUGAAAACAUACGUAUGUAAUAUGACAAGUAUAUAGAAUGACGAAUAGUGUAAUGCGAAUCGCAACGUAUCGAGAAUUGAAUUGCAGAUCUCUAAGGCAGUCUUGUAUAUUAAAUACAAGAACAACGACGCUACUUUACAAACAUGUAAAGUGAUAGCGGCCACGUUUAAACUCGAAGCACGUUUACCUCUAGGACGAGGAAAUCGAACAUAGAAGUUAGUUACAAAAGAGACGUGAAUCCACGUGCAAGAAGAUAUUAUUGUAGUCGAUCGAAGAAGAAGGGAUUGAUUCAUAGUGAUUAUGAAUCAAGCAAUAAUAAGAUGGUUAGGAUUGUUAGCAUAAUAAUUUACUCGAUAAGUAUAUCGAGAUGACCGUAUAAACCUAAUUGUAAAGUCAACAGUUAGUGAAUGAUUAAUCAGAGUAUCGCAGCGGAAGUGUGGAAGGAAGUGAAUGAUAAGGUUUGAACAAGGAUUGGUUAAGUGAUAUUAGAAGAUUAUGAAAAUUCGAGGACGAAUUUUUAUAAGGGGGGAAGAUUGUAAUAACCUAAAUUUUUGAGGUAUUACGUGUAGCGCCACGAGGCAUAAUCGUAAGGAUUAAGAAUGAGACUAUCAGAUUAAGACUGGAUAAUAAGGACUUAGACCGAAGCGGGUCUAUUGGAAUUAUCGUAAAAUAAUAAAUUUAAUUGAAAAUUAUUAUGCGAUCAAUUGGAUUUAAUCGAGACUAAAGGGAAUAAAAUAAGUUGGAAAGCCCGAGCUAAUAAUUUUCAUGCCAAGAUCCGUGAAUAAUUUUUAGAAAUUAUGGAAAAAGUUUCAUAACUUUCAGACAUUGUUUAGUUAAGCAUGUCAGUUAAUAGAGAAGUUGAGGUAAAAUGUAAAUUAGCCACUUUAAGGACUAAAGUGGACUUUUAACCACAAACUUCCGGAGGAAGUUGUGUUUUACUCUAUUUUCUCAAGAUAAGAAAAUAAUAUCGAUAAAGUUGUUAUCAAUGGUCAAUAAAAUGAAAAUUGGACGAAAAAGUGAGAAAAAGUGCAAGUUAGCUCAAAAUGGAAAUUUGAGCGUUUUUGGCCAAAAUUGCCAAAAUAUAUUAUUGGAAAGUGAUAUUAAAAGAUAUGAGACUAAUGUUAUUUAUUUGGAAAAUAAAUAAUACGGAACUUAUCGAGAAUCGAAUGAUUAAAAGAUUAGUGCACUAAAUUGUACGAAAGAUAAGCUAGAAAGUGAAGAGAAAGGAGGUGACAACUUCAAGGACCUAAGUGGACUUUUUACCCACUUAUUAUCAUCUUUUAUGAAUGAAUAAUCAUUCAUUUAAACACAAAAUUGCAGCAAACCAAAGGUGAAAUCCGUAGCUCUUCAUUUCCAAAUUCUCCAAAAUUUCAAAUCUUCAUAUCUUUUUCGUUUCUCAACGAAAUUGAGCGAUUCUUGCGGCCACGGAACGAGGAAGUGAUUAUCUACAACUCUAUGGCAUCAAUUUAAGUGUAAUUGUAAGCUUGUAAUGAAGGUUAUGGAUGAUGAAAUUGGAGCUUUAAACCUACGGCAAUAGAGACAUCAUCAAGCCACGAAGACGACGUCAACUAAGAUGAGACCGACGAAGAUGAGACCGCUGCUGAGGAAGACAACACGUUUGUUUUUGCUGCUCCUCGAAUCUUCCGUUCAUCGUCAUCAAUGCUGCUCCUCCUUUUUAUUUCUUCGAAGAAAAAAAAAAGAAACGAACGGUUCGAAAACGGCGAUGGUUUAAAAGACGAGACAUGGAAUUUCUGCAGCGGUGAUGAAAUUUCUUCUUCUGAUGAUGAGGUGCCGUGAUCGUGAUGUGAUUAUUUGGAUUGCUUUGAUUAAUGGGUAUGUGAAAUCUGGUCACAUUUUGAUUGCACAGUGACUGUUCGAUAAAAUGCCUAAGAGAAACUCUAUUUCUUGGAAUGCCAUGAUUUUUGAAAUUUUUGGGUAUGUUCAAGUUGGCUUGAUUUCUGGAAUUUCUGAGAUUCGAGCAUAUGCGGAGUUUGUUGGAUUGUACUGUAAAUUGAAGAGAAGAAGCAGUAGAUCUGGUGUUUCUUCU